RNAcentral lists this ribosomal RNA (572 nucleotides) under Saccharomyces cerevisiae (brewer's yeast). RNAcentral's name for it is "partial large subunit ribosomal RNA". It matches the Rfam family "Eukaryotic large subunit ribosomal RNA", at positions 62 to 648 of the family's 3401-position model. The record is from RNAcentral. Lineage: Eukaryota; Fungi; Ascomycota; Saccharomycetes; Saccharomycetales; Saccharomycetaceae.
AAACCAACCGGGAUUGCCUUAGUAACGGCGAGUGAAGCGGCAAAAGCUCAAAUUUGAAAUCUGGUACCUUCGGUGCCCGAGUUGUAAUUUGGAGAGGGCAACUUUGGGGCCGUUCCUUGUCUAUGUUCCUUGGAACAGGACGUCAUAGAGGGUGAGAAUCCCGUGUGGCGAGGAGUGCGGUUCUUUGUAAAGUGCCUUCGAAGAGUCGAGUUGUUUGGGAAUGCAGCUCUAAGUGGGUGGUAAAUUCCAUCUAAAGCUAAACAUUGGCGAGAGACCGAUAGCGAACAAGUACAGUGAUGGAAAGAUGAAAAGAACUUUGAAAAGAGAGUGAAAAAGUACGUGAAAUUGUUGAAAGGGAAGGGCAUUUGAUCAGACAUGGUGUUUUGUGCCCUCUGCUCCUUGUGGGUAGGGGAAUCUCGCAUUUCACUGGGCCAGCAUCAGUUUUGGUGGCAGGAUAAAUCCAUAGGAAUGUAGCUUGCCUCGGUAAGUAUUAUAGCCUGUGGGAAUACUGCCAGCUGGGACUGAGGACUGCGACGUAAGUCAAGGAUGCUGGCAUAAUGGUUAUAUGCCGC